RNAcentral lists this transfer RNA (21 nucleotides) under Corethrogyne filaginifolia var. linifolia. RNAcentral's name for it is "partial tRNA-His". RNAcentral also lists the same sequence under 1 other name. Lineage: Eukaryota; Viridiplantae; Streptophyta; Magnoliopsida; Asterales; Asteraceae. The record is from RNAcentral.
CAAGGCAGUGGAUUGUGAAUC